Molecule: ribosomal RNA, 492 nt
Filed under: uncultured bacterium
Lineage: Bacteria
Description: partial 16S ribosomal RNA
Rfam family: Bacterial small subunit ribosomal RNA
Source: RNAcentral
AGUGAACGCUGGCGGUAGGCCUAACACAUGCAAGUCGAACGGCAGCACAGUAAGAGCUUGCUCUUACGGGUGGCGAGUGGCGGACGGGUGAGGAAUACGUCGGAAUCUACUUUUUCGUGGGGGAUAACGUAGGGAAACUUACGCUAAUACCGCAUACGACCUACGGGUGAAAGCAGGGGAUCUUCGGACCUUGCGCGAUUGAAUGAGCCGAUGUCGGAUUAGCUAGUUGGCGGGGUAAAGGCCCACCAAGGCGACGAUCCGUAGCUGGUCUGAGAGGAUGAUCAGCCCCACUGGAACUGAGACACGGUCCAGACUCCUACGGGAGGCAGCAGUGGGGAAUAUUGGACAAUGGGCGCAAGCCUGAUCCAGCCAUACCGCGUGGGUGAAGAAGGCCUUCGGGUUGUAAAGCCCUUUUGUUGGGAAAGAAAAGCAGCAGGUUAAUACCCCGCUGUUCUGACGGUACCCAAAGAAUAAGCACCGGCUAACUUCGUG